GCUUGUCUCAAAGAUUAAGCCAUGCAUGUCUAAGUGUAAAUACGUCUACACUGUGAAACUGCGAAUGGCUCAUUAAAACAGUUAUAGUUUAUUUGGUAAUCGAAUUUACAUGGAUAACCGUGGUAAUUCUAGAGCUAAUACAUGCUGUAAAGCCCGACUUUUCGGAAGGGCCGUAUUUAUUAGAUAACAGACCAAUAUUCCUCGUGUCUAUUGUGGUGAAUCAUAGUAACUAAUCGGAUCGCAUGGGCUAGUCCCGCGACAAACCAUUCAAGUUUCUGCCCCAUCAGCUUUCGAUGGUAGUGUAUUGGACUACCAUGGCUUUUACGGGUAACGGAGGAUUAGGGUUCGAUUCCGGAGAGGGAGCCUGAGAAACGGCUACCACAUCUAAGGAAGGCAG
This 397-nucleotide ribosomal RNA is filed under the name uncultured Rimostrombidium. RNAcentral's name for it is "partial small subunit ribosomal RNA". It matches the Rfam family "Eukaryotic small subunit ribosomal RNA", at positions 30 to 428 of the family's 1831-position model. The record is from RNAcentral. Lineage: Eukaryota; Ciliophora; Spirotrichea; Choreotrichida; Strobilidiidae.